This 293-nucleotide ribosomal RNA is filed under the name uncultured bacterium. Its description in RNAcentral is "partial 16S ribosomal RNA". It matches the Rfam family "Bacterial small subunit ribosomal RNA", at positions 775 to 1067 of the family's 1533-position model. The record is from RNAcentral.
GGAUUAGAUACCCUGGUAGUCCACGCCGUAAACGAUGUCUACUAGCCGUUGGGAGUCUUGUACUCUUGGUGGCGCAGCUAACGCAAUAAGUAGACCGCCUGGGGAGUACGGUCGCAAGAUUAAAACUCAAAUGAAUUGACGGGGGCCCGCACAAGCGGUGGAGCAUGUGGUUUAAUUCGAAGCAACGCGAAGAACCUUACCUACUCUUGACAUCCAGAGAACUUUCCAGAGAUGGAUUGGUGCCUUCGGGAACUCUGAGACAGGUGCUGCAUGGCUGUCGUCAGCUCGUGCCG